RNAcentral lists this long non-coding RNA (1345 nucleotides) under Manihot esculenta (cassava). RNAcentral describes it as "long non-coding RNA (MESC_LNC007604)". Lineage: Eukaryota; Viridiplantae; Streptophyta; Magnoliopsida; Malpighiales; Euphorbiaceae. The record is from RNAcentral.
AUGUACGUAACAAAAGCUUUACAACACAAUACAACUAAGUCAAGCACAACUCUAACUUUAUACACAACUAUUACAUCUCUUUAAAAUUUACAUGUCCACUCUAUACUAUUACAAGCUCUUUUACUCUUUCUGUACUCUGCUGGACUGUCCCUGUACACUGUACACUGAACCUGCAAAACUGGGGUUAAGGGAGUGGGAUGAGCUCUAUAGCCCAGUGAGUAGAACAGUAAAACAUUUCAGUAAAAUAUGAUCUCAUGGAAUGCGUCAUAACACAAACAAUCCACAUCAAAGAUAAACCUGUCACCACAUAGUCCCAGUAACUCUGUGCCAGGGCGUAGAAUCGAGCACCUGGUCUUCCUGUGAUAUAUGUAUAUGUGUAUAUAACACCUCUGUACUUACCAUUGCCAGGGCGUAGUCAAAGGCUCCUAGACUUUACUAUAUACCUGCCAGGGCGUAGUCAAAGGCUCCUGGACUUCUCUAUACCUGCCAGGGCGUAGUCAAAGGCUCAUGGACUUCCUGUCUGGAACUAUUGGAUCAUUCAGCAUUUACCCACACCAACAAUGUAGCUAUACAAUGCAACAUCUUUGUGAGUUCUAAUGCAAUCAACCUAUUGCAUAAACAUGAUGCAUGAAAAAUGCUAAAAGCCGUUAAUGUCUGUCUUAAAAUGAGUUAUAAGUUUAGUUCCACUCACCUUUGGCUCUCUGGACUGACUGACUGUGCAAGCUCUGAAACUCUGAGCAGGACUCACUACUGCUCUCUCUGGUUCCUCUGGUCUGUAUAGGUACAGAUAAACUCAAAUGAGGGACCAAACUAGCUGUAACGACCCCAAAAAGGACCGUCACUGGCGCUAGGAUUCAGGUCGGCUUAAGGCCGCCAGAACCCGUAGCAAGCCUGCUAUACUCUCUGUGUACCUGUAAACCUCAUACAUGAUCAUACAUUUUCAGUGAAAAUAAAACUCUUUUCUGAACCAAGGCUCAACCUGUGCAUGCACUAUCUCUGUACUCUGUACUCAUGUACUCUGUACUCUGUAUCCCUGACUAGAGCUUGCUCUAGAUGGGUUAUCUCAUACCUGUUAAGCCUGGUUUUCACAUACAGGAAAACAUAUAUACAAAUACAGAUCAUGUACAAAACAUACAUCACUAGGUCACUAGGUCAAGCAACAACUAUUACAUCUCUUUACGAUUACAUGUCCACUCUACGCUAUUACAGAUCUCUUUACUUUUUCUGUACUCUGCUGGACUGUCCCUGUACACUGUACACUGAACCUGCAAAACUGGGGUUAAGGGAGUGGGAUGAGCUCUAUAGCCCAGUGAGUAGAACAAUAAAACAUCUCAGUAAAAUAUGA